RNAcentral lists this ribosomal RNA (524 nucleotides) under uncultured bacterium. Its description in RNAcentral is "partial 16S ribosomal RNA". It matches the Rfam family "Bacterial small subunit ribosomal RNA", at positions 28 to 523 of the family's 1533-position model. The record is from RNAcentral.
GACGAACGCUGGCGGCGUGCCUAAUACAUGCAAGUCGAGCGCAGGAAAUCAUCUGAACCCUUCGGGGGGACGUUGAUGGAAUGAGCGGCGGACGGGUGAGUAACACGUAAAGAACCUACCCUCAGGUCUGGGAUAACCACGAGAAAUCGGGGCUAAUACCGGAUGGGUCAUCGGACCGCAUGGUCCGAGGAUGAAAGGCGCUUCGGCGUCGCCUGGGGAUGGCUUUGCGGUGCAUUAGCUAGUUGGUGGGGUAAGGGCCCACCAAGGCGACGAUGCAUAGCCGACCUGAGAGGGUGAUCGGCCACACUGGGACUGAGACACGGCCCAGACUCCUACGGGAGGCAGCAGUAGGGAAUCUUCCACAAUGGACGAAAGUCUGAUGGAGCAACGCCGCGUGAACGAUGAAGGCCUUCGGGUCGUAAAAUUCUGUUGUAAGGGAAGAACAAGUGCCGCAGGCAAUGGCGGCACCUUGACGGUACCUUGCGAGAAAGCCACGGCUAACUACGUGCCAGCAGCCGCAGUAA